UACGUAGGGUGCGAGCGUUAAUCGGAAUUACUGGGCGUAAAGCGAGCGCAGACGGUUACUUAAGCAGGAUGUGAAAUCCCCGGGCUCAACCUGGGAACUGCGUUCUGAACUGGGUGACUAGAGUGUGUCAGAGGGAGGUAGAAUUCCACGUGUAGCAGUGAAAUGCGUAGAGAUGUGGAGGAAUACCGAUGGCGAAGGCAGCCUCCUGGGAUAACACUGACGUUCAUGCUCGAA
This 234-nucleotide ribosomal RNA is filed under the name uncultured Neisseriales bacterium. RNAcentral describes it as "partial 16S ribosomal RNA". It matches the Rfam family "Bacterial small subunit ribosomal RNA", at positions 524 to 757 of the family's 1533-position model. The record is from RNAcentral. Lineage: Bacteria; Pseudomonadati; Pseudomonadota; Betaproteobacteria; Neisseriales.